AGUGAACGCUGGCGGUAGGCCUAACACAUGCAAGUCGAACGGCAGCACAGUAAGAGCUUGCUCUUACGGGUGGCGAGUGGCGGACGGGUGAGGAAUACAUCGGAAUCUACUUUUUCGUGGGGGAUAACGUAGGGAAACUUACGCUAAUACCGCAUACGACCUACGGGUGAAAGCAGGGGAUCUUCGGACCUUGCGCGAUUGAAUGAGCCGAUGUCGGAUUAGCUAGUUGGCGGGGUAAAGGCCCACCAAGGCGACGAUCCGUAGCUGGUCUGAGAGGAUGAUCAGCCACACUGGAACUGAGACACGGUCCAGACUCCUACGGGAGGCAGCAGUGGGGAAUAUUGGACAAUGGGCGCAAGCCUGAUCCAGCCAUACCGCGUGGGUGAAGCAGGCCUUCGGGUUGUAAAGCCCUUUUGUUGGGAAAGAAAAGCGGCAGGUUAAUACCCCGCUGUUCUGACGGUACCCAAAGAAUAAGCACCGGCUAACUUCGUG
This 492-nucleotide ribosomal RNA is filed under the name uncultured bacterium. Its description in RNAcentral is "partial 16S ribosomal RNA". It matches the Rfam family "Bacterial small subunit ribosomal RNA", at positions 29 to 507 of the family's 1533-position model. The record is from RNAcentral.